Molecule: unclassified non-coding RNA, 268 nt
Filed under: uncultured bacterium
Lineage: Bacteria
Description: contains 16S-23S intergenic spacer region
Source: RNAcentral
CGUGGUCGCAGGCUAUGACCUCGCUGCCUUGGCGAACCGCAACUUGGCAGCGUCAGCCUGGCCGAGAUUCGAUCCGUGCGCGGCAAACUCCUCUGUGCGGCGUCAGCAUGAGCGUGCCGCGAUUUCCGAACGCCAUGCGUCGAAAUCAGUUUUCUCCACGACACGUAUGGAAGCAUCCGCAUUUUCGACGCGAUCGCCCGAAAUGUCGAUGAUCUCGCCGUCGAAAUGGCCAGUCUCAUGAAUGAUCACGACCACCGAUUCGAUCCGG